AAAAAGGACCUUCUCAGGUCCACAGAUGACUAUUAUUUCAGUAAAC
Molecule: non-coding RNA, 46 nt
Organism: Ophiophagus hannah (king cobra)
Lineage: Eukaryota; Metazoa; Chordata; Lepidosauria; Squamata; Elapidae
Source: Rfam